UACGUAGGGGGCUAGCGUUGUCCGGAUUUAUUGGGCGUAAAGAGCGUGUAGGCGGCUUUACAGGUCCGUUGUGAAAACUCGAGGCUCAACCUCGAGACGCCGGUGGAAACCGUAAAGCUAGAGUCCGGAAGAGGAGAGUGGAAUUCCUGGUGUAGCGGUGAAAUGCGCAGAUAUCAGGAAGAACACCCGUGGCGAAGGCGGCUCUCUGGGACGGUACUGACGCUGAGACGCGAAAGCGUGGGGAGCGAACAGG
RNAcentral lists this ribosomal RNA (253 nucleotides) under uncultured bacterium. RNAcentral's name for it is "partial 16S ribosomal RNA". It matches the Rfam family "Bacterial small subunit ribosomal RNA", at positions 524 to 776 of the family's 1533-position model. The record is from RNAcentral.